RNAcentral lists this ribosomal RNA (3077 nucleotides) under Proteus terrae subsp. cibarius. Its description in RNAcentral is "23S ribosomal RNA". It matches the Rfam family "Bacterial large subunit ribosomal RNA". Lineage: Bacteria; Pseudomonadati; Pseudomonadota; Gammaproteobacteria; Enterobacterales; Morganellaceae. The record is from RNAcentral.
GGUUAAGCGAAUAAGCGUACACGGUGGAUGCCUAGGCAAUCAGAGGCGAUGAAGGACGUGCUAAUCUGCGAUAAGCGUCGGUAAGGUGAUAUGAACCGUUAUACCCGACGAUUUCCGAAUGGGGAAACCCAAUAUCCAAUGGAUAUUAUCAUUAACUGAAUACAUAGGUUAAUGAAGCGAACCGGGAGAACUGAAACAUCUCAGUACCCCGAGGAAAAGAAAUCAACCGAGAUUCCCCUAGUAGCGGCGAGCGAACGGGGAACAGCCCAGAGUCUUAAUCAAUAGCAGCAUCAGGAGAACGGUCUGGAAAGUCCGGCAGUAAAGGGUGAUAGCCCCGUAUCCGAAGAUGCUGUUGUUGUGAACUCGACGAGUAGGGCGGGACACGUGUUAUCCUGUCUGAAUAUGGGGGGACCAUCCUCCAAGGCUAAAUACUCCUGAUUGACCGAUAGUGAACCAGUACCGUGAGGGAAAGGCGAAAAGAACCCCGGCGAGGGGAGUGAAAAAGAACCUGAAACCGUGUACGUACAAGCAGUAGGAGCCCCAUCACUCAAGUGCCUCGCACUGAGUGAUUGGACAAACCACUCGAAAACAGCGCAGCGUUUACCUACAAAGUGGAUUGAUUUUUUCAAGCCGUCGCGCAGUGUACAUAGAAGUACACGAGCAACGGAAGUUAAAAAAUCGAGCCAGUUUGACAGUAAAAGCAAGCGGGACAUUUGAGGAUGGGGUGACUGCGUACCUUUUGUAUAAUGGGUCAGCGACUUAUAUUCUGUAGCAAGGUUAACCGUAUAGGGGAGCCGUAGGGAAACCGAGUCUUAACUGGGCGAAUGAGUUGCAGGGUAUAGACCCGAAACCCGGUGAUCUAUCCAUGGGCAGGUUGAAGGUUGGGUAACACUAACUGGAGGACCGAACCGACUAAUGUUGAAAAAUUAGCGGAUGACUUGUGGAUGGGGGUGAAAGGCCAAUCAAACUGGGAGAUAGCUGGUUCUCCCCGAAAGCUAUUUAGGUAGCGCCUCGUGAAUUCAUCUUCGGGGGUAGAGCACUGUUUCGACUAGGGGGUCAUCCCGACUUACCAACUCGAUGCAAACUGCGAAUACCGAAGAAUGUUAUCACGGGAGACACACGGCGGGUGCUAACGUCCGUCGUGAAGAGGGAAACAACCCAGACCGCCAGCUAAGGUCCCAAAGUCAUGGUUAAGUGGGAAACGAAGUGGGAAGGCUCAGACAGCCAGGAUGUUGGCUUAGAAGCAGCCAUCAUUUAAAGAAAGCGUAAUAGCUCACUGGUCGAGUCGGCCCGCGCGGAAGAUGUAACGGGGCUAAACCAUGCACCGAAGCUGCGGCAGCGACACUAAGUGUUGUUGGGUAGGGGAGCGUUCUGUAAGCCUGCGAAGGUGUACUGUGAGGUAUGCUGGAGGUAUCAGAAGUGCGAAUGCUGACAUAAGUAACGAUAAUGCGGGUGAAAAACCCGCACGCCGGAAGACCAAGGGUUCCUGUCCAACGUUAAUCGGGGCAGGGUGAGUCGACCCCUAAGGCGAGGCUGAAAAGCGUAGUCGAUGGGAAACGGGUUAAUAUUCCCGUACUGGUGGUAACUGCGAUGGGGGAACGGAGAAGGCUAGGUUGUCCGGGCGACGGUCGUCCCGGUUCAAGCAUGUAGGCAGAGUGAUUAGGCAAAUCCGGUCACUUAAUGCUGAGGUGUGAUGACGAACCACUAAGGUGGUGAAGCAAUUGAUGCCCUGCUUCCAGGAAAAGCCUCUAAGCUUCAGGUUACCAACAAUCGUACCCCAAACCGACACAGGUGGUCAGGUAGAGAAUACUCAGGCGCUUGAGAGAACUCGGGUGAAGGAACUAGGCAAAAUGGUGCCGUAACUUCGGGAGAAGGCACGCUGGCGGUAAGUGAAGUCCCUCGCGGACGGAGCCGAAGCCAGUCGAAGAUACCAGCUGGCUGCAACUGUUUAUUAAAAACACAGCACUGUGCAAACACGAAAGUGGACGUAUACGGUGUGACGCCUGCCCGGUGCUGGAAGGUUAAUUGAUGGGGUUAUCCUUAGGGAGAAGCUCUUGAUCGAAGCCCCAGUAAACGGCGGCCGUAACUAUAACGGUCCUAAGGUAGCGAAAUUCCUUGUCGGGUAAGUUCCGACCUGCACGAAUGGCGUAAUGAUGGCCAGGCUGUCUCCACCCGAGACUCAGUGAAAUUGAACUCGCUGUGAAGAUGCAGUGUACCCGCGGCAAGACGGAAAGACCCCGUGAACCUUUACUAUAGCUUGACACUGAACAUUGAGCCUUGAUGUGUAGGAUAGGUGGGAGACUAUGAAGUGUGGACGCCAGUCUGCAUGGAGUCAACCUUGAAAUACCACCCUUUAACGUUUGAUGUUCUAACCUAGGCCCAUAAUCUGGGUCGGGGACCGUGUCUGGUGGGUAGUUUGACUGGGGCGGUCUCCUCCUAAAGAGUAACGGAGGAGCACGAAGGUUGGCUAAGCAUGGUCGGACAUCAUGCGGUUAGUGCAAAGGCAUAAGCCAGCUUGACUGUGAGAGUGACGGCUCGAGCAGGUACGAAAGUAGGUCUUAGUGAUCCGGUGGUUCUGAAUGGAAGGGCCAUCGCUCAACGGAUAAAAGGUACUCCGGGGAUAACAGGCUGAUACCGCCCAAGAGUUCAUAUCGACGGCGGUGUUUGGCACCUCGAUGUCGGCUCAUCACAUCCUGGGGCUGAAGUAGGUCCCAAGGGUAUGGCUGUUCGCCAUUUAAAGUGGUACGCGAGCUGGGUUUAGAACGUCGUGAGACAGUUCGGUCCCUAUCUGCCGUGGGCGUUGGAAGAUUGAGAGGGGUUGCUCCUAGUACGAGAGGACCGGAGUGAACGCACCACUGGUGUUCGGGUUGUCAUGCCAAUGGCAUUGCCCGGUAGCUAAGUGCGGAAGAGAUAACCGCUGAAAGCAUCUAAGCGGGAAACUUGCCUCGAGAUGAGUCUUCCCUGUCACCUAGAGUGACCUAAAGGAACGUUUAAGACUAAGACGUUGAUAGGCUGGGUGUGUAAGCGUAGCGAUACGUUGAGCUAACCAGUACUAAUGAACCGUGAGGCUUAACCUG